AUGCAGGGGGAGCUAGCUUGCUGAGAGGAGAUAAUAGAUCUCGACCCUUAACCUGAUUUGGAUAAUGCCAACGUAGGGAAAUUAUUAAUUAU
Molecule: non-coding RNA, 92 nt
Filed under: Romboutsia timonensis
Lineage: Bacteria; Bacillati; Bacillota; Clostridia; Peptostreptococcales; Peptostreptococcaceae
Source: RNAcentral